UUCCCUGAUCAUUCAUGCAAAGCAACUCCCUCUUUGAAGCAAAGCAAAGCAAAAUUAAAACGGAAAAACCCUAGCCUUAGGUUCCUUGCCGCCGCCGUCCCUAGGUUCUAGGCGCCUCCGCUUCUUCUUCUUUCCCCUGACCGGAACCUAGGUAGCUCGGCACGUCAUCCACUGGCUUCUCUGUUCGUGGCUUGGAGCAGCUUGCCGUUUGCCGUCGUCUCACCUCUCCCUGUCGUCUCGCCUCUCGCCGUUGUCUCGCCGGUUGCUGUCCGUGUCUCCGUCGAAGCUGAAGAAAUUAGAGGGCUGGAUAAGAAGACAUUGAUGCCUCAGAAGACACCACCACCAUCACCAUGUCCUUGUUACUUGAAGGUUUCUUUAGCACAAUAGUUAAAAUCACAAUCAUAAUUACAUAAUAUGUUUAAAUAAUUAUCCCAAAAAAAAAAAGAAAUUCACAAGAACAUCUUGGGGUUUUGAUGAAUUAGACUUCGAUGAUAAUUUCUUGCCCAGAAUUAAGUUUCUACUCCACUUUCUA
This is a non-coding RNA of Arachis ipaensis, 532 nucleotides long. NCBI's taxonomy places the organism in Eukaryota, Viridiplantae, Streptophyta, Magnoliopsida, Fabales, Fabaceae. The record is from RefSeq and is a predicted model, not a curated record.